This is a long non-coding RNA of Cucumis melo (muskmelon), 520 nucleotides long. RefSeq lists it as uncharacterized. The transcript is spliced from 2 exons. The record is from RefSeq and is a predicted model, not a curated record. Lineage: Eukaryota; Viridiplantae; Streptophyta; Magnoliopsida; Cucurbitales; Cucurbitaceae.
AGCCACAAAACCACUUAUACAAAUAUUCUCCCUUAAAAGAAGUCAAAAUACUGAGAAGAUGAGACAACACGUAGCCGUUGCGGUAGUCAUCAUGUUGGCGUUGAUGAUUAUGAACACUUUCUUCCUUGUUGAUGGAAGGCAUUUGGAGUUGCAAGAUGAAGAGCAUGAGAAGAAUCCUAUUGAGAGUCAAAAGUUAAGAGGUAGAAAACAAUAUGAAACUAGUGAAUAUAAUCACCAUGGAUGCUAUAGAAGUGACUAUAAUUGUUGGAGUAACAAGGAGACAAAGGAAUAAUGGGCUUGGUCUAAAUACAAACAUACACGUCGAGAGAUAUAUUUGUAUAAGUUUUUGUGUUUUUGUAUAAGUUGAGUAUUCAUUUUUCUUGCUAGGGUCAGCGAGAAAGGUGAUGACAAAAGAGGAUAUUUUGUAUGUAAUAUUAUGUUUGGCUAAAAAUGAAAGGACGUAUGAGGAGGUGUAGUUAUGUUAUGAAAUAAUAAUGCAUUUGCAUGGAACUUGGAAUAA